RNAcentral lists this non-coding RNA (123 nucleotides) under uncultured Lachnoclostridium sp. RNAcentral describes it as "FMN riboswitch (RFN element)". It matches the Rfam family "FMN riboswitch aptamer (RFN element)". From Rfam's summary of the family: The RFN element is a highly conserved domain that is found frequently in the 5'-untranslated regions of prokaryotic mRNAs that encode for flavin mononucleotide (FMN) biosynthesis and transport proteins. This element is a metabolite-dependent riboswitch that directly binds FMN in the absence of proteins. The record is from RNAcentral. Lineage: Bacteria; Bacillati; Bacillota; Clostridia; Lachnospirales; Lachnospiraceae.
CUUCGGGGCAGGGUGAAAUUCCCUACUGGCGGUAUAGUCCGCGAACCUUUUAGGCCGAUUUGGUGACUGUAGCAUCAUGCAACAGAAUUCCAAAACCAACAGUAUAGUCUGGAUGAAAGAAGU